CCCAGACUCCUACGGGAGGCAGCAGUGGGGGAUAUUGCACAAUGGGGGGAACCCUGAUGCAGCGACGCCGCGUGGGUGAAGGAGCGUUUCGGCGCGUAAAGCCCUAUCGGCAGGGAAGAAGGAGGACGGUACCUGACUAAGAAGCCCCGGCUAACUACGUGCCAGCAGCCGCGGUAAUACGUAGGGGGCAAGCGUUAUCCGGAUUUACUGGGUGUAAAGGGGGCGCAGACGGCAGCGCAAGCCAGGAGUGAAAGCCCGGGGCCCAACCCCGGGACUGCUCUUGGAACUGCGCGGCUGGAGUGCAGGAGGGGCAGGCGGAAUUCCUGGUGUAGCGGUGAAAUGCGUAGAUAUCAGGAGGAACACCGGUGGCGAAGGCGGCCUGCUGGACUGCAACUGACGUUGAGGCCCGAAAGCGUGGGGAGCAAACAGGAUUAGAUACCCUGGUAU
Molecule: ribosomal RNA, 447 nt
Filed under: uncultured bacterium
Lineage: Bacteria
Description: partial 16S ribosomal RNA
Rfam family: Bacterial small subunit ribosomal RNA
Source: RNAcentral